Molecule: long non-coding RNA, 307 nt
Organism: Bubalus bubalis (water buffalo)
Lineage: Eukaryota; Metazoa; Chordata; Mammalia; Artiodactyla; Bovidae
Exons: 3
Source: RefSeq, a predicted model, not a curated record
GUUUGUACACGGAGCCGUCACACUUGCACAUAUGGCAUUGCAGACCCAGACCCUGGGCCUCGACGAGGAUUCCACUGCCUGGAGUGCAGGCCGGGGGUGGGGUGACCGGUGAGGCCUGCCAGGUACCAUGCAGGGUUCUGAAAACUCAAGUGAGAACUCGCUCACUUGGCCAGAGGAGACAGACGGUUUGUGAUGGAAAUGGCAGGACCACAUUCAAGAUCAUCCUCCUUGCUGGACGAAUGACAAGUACGUCUCUAUGCACUUCCAGGGGAGUGAGACUGGAGAGAGGCAGAAGCAGGUGAGAGCU